GGUUGCGAUCAUACCAGCACUAAAGCACCGGAUCCCAUUAGAACUCCGAAGUUAAGCAUGCUUGGGCGAGAGUAGUACUAGGAUGGGUGACCUCCUGGGAAGUCCUCGUGUUGCAUUCC
Molecule: ribosomal RNA, 119 nt
Filed under: Triticum aestivum (bread wheat)
Lineage: Eukaryota; Viridiplantae; Streptophyta; Magnoliopsida; Poales; Poaceae
Source: RNAcentral